This 465-nucleotide ribosomal RNA is filed under the name uncultured bacterium. RNAcentral's name for it is "partial 16S ribosomal RNA". It matches the Rfam family "Bacterial small subunit ribosomal RNA", at positions 28 to 507 of the family's 1533-position model. The record is from RNAcentral.
GACGAACGCUGGCGGCGUGCUUAACACAUGCAAGUCGAACGGAAAGGCCCUGCUUGCAGGGUACUCGAGUGGCGAACGGGUGAGUAACACGUGGGUGAUCUGCCCUGCACUUCGGGAUAAGCCUGGGAAACUGGGUCUAAUACCGGAUAGGAGCCAUUUUUAGUGUGAUGGUUGGAAAGUUUUUUCGGUGUAGGAUGAGCUCGCGGCCUAUCAGCUUGUUGGUGGGGUAAUGGCCCACCAAGGCGGCGACGGGUAGCCGGCCUGAGAGGGUGGACGGCCACAUUGGGACUGAGAUACGGCCCAGACUCCUACGGGAGGCAGCAGGGGGGAAUAUUGCACAAGGGGCGCAAGCCUGAUGCAGCGACGCCGCGUGGGGGAUGACGGCCUUCGGGUUGUAAACUCCUUUCGCUAGGGACGAAGCUUUUUGUGACGGUACCUAGAUAAGAAGCACCGGCUAACUACGUG